ACUCAAAUGAAUUGACGGGGACCCGCACAAGCGGUGGAGGAUGUGGUUUAAUAUGACGCUACGCGUAGAACCUUACCGAGGCUUGACAUCCUUGGAACCUGGUGGAAACAUCGGGGUGCCUUUUGGAGCCAAGUGACAGGUGCUGCAUGGCCGUCGUCAGCUCGUGUUGUGAAAUGUUGGGUUAAGUCCCGCAACGAGCGCAACCCUUAUCGUAUGUUGUAUUUUUCAUGCGAGACUGCCCGGGCCAACCGGGAGGAAGGUGGGGAUGAAGUCAGGUCGGCAUGGCCCUUACGCCUCGGGCUACACACGUCCUACAAUGGCCGGUACAACGCGCCGCGAAGCCGCGAGGCGGAGCUAAUCGCAACAAAACCGGUCCCAGUUCGGAUUGGAGGCUGCAACUCGCCUCCAUGAAGUCGGAAUCGCUAGUAACCGUAGGUCAGCAUACUGCGGUGAAUACGUUCCCGGGUCUUGUACACACCGCCCGU
RNAcentral lists this ribosomal RNA (485 nucleotides) under uncultured bacterium. RNAcentral's name for it is "partial 16S ribosomal RNA". It matches the Rfam family "Bacterial small subunit ribosomal RNA", at positions 899 to 1397 of the family's 1533-position model. The record is from RNAcentral.